UUGAACGCUGGCGGCAUGCCUUACACAUGCAAGUCGAACGGCAGCACGGGUGCUUGCACCUGGUGGCGAGUGGCGAACGGGUGAGUAAUACAUCGGAACAUGUCCUGUAGUGGGGGAUAGCCCGGCGAAAGCCGGAUUAAUACCGCAUACGAUCUACGGAUGAAAGCGGGGGACCUUCGGGCCUCGCGCUAUAGGGUUGGCCGAUGGCUGAUUAGCUAGUUGGUGGGGUAAAGGCCUACCAAGGCGACGAUCAGUAGCUGGUCUGAGAGGACGACCAGCCACACUGGGACUGAGACACGGCCCAGACUCCUACGGGAGGCAGCAGUGGGGAAUUUUGGACAAUGGGCGAAAGCCUGAUCCAGCAAUGCCGCGUGUGUGAAGGAGGCCUUCGGGUUGUAAAGCACUUUUGUCCGGAAAGAAAUCCUUGGCCCUAAUACGGUCGGGGGAUGACGGUACCGGAAGAAUAAGCACCGGCUAACUACGUG
Molecule: ribosomal RNA, 485 nt
Filed under: uncultured bacterium
Lineage: Bacteria
Description: partial 16S ribosomal RNA
Rfam family: Bacterial small subunit ribosomal RNA
Source: RNAcentral